RNAcentral lists this ribosomal RNA (479 nucleotides) under uncultured Glomus. Its description in RNAcentral is "SSU rRNA". It matches the Rfam family "Eukaryotic small subunit ribosomal RNA", at positions 569 to 1055 of the family's 1831-position model. Lineage: Eukaryota; Fungi; Glomeromycota; Glomeromycetes; Glomerales; Glomeraceae. The record is from RNAcentral.
AGCAGCCGCGGUAAUUCCAGCUCCAAUAGCGUAUAUUAAAGUUGCUGCAGUUAAAAAGCUCGUAGUUGAAUUUCGGGAUCAAUAUGUUGGUCGUGCCUCGGUACGUACUAGCUUAUUGGUUUCUCCCUUCUGACGAACCAUGAUGUCAUUUAUUUGGUGUUAUGAGGAAUCAGGACUGUUACUUUGAAAAAUUAGAGUGUUUAAAGCAGGCUCACGCUUGAAUACAUUAGCAUGGAAUAAUGAAAUAGGACGUUUGAUUCUAUUUUGUUGGUUUCUAGGAUCGACGUAAUGAUUAAUAGGGAUAGUUGGGGGCAUUAGUAUUCAAUUGUCAGAGGUGAAAUUCUUGGAUUUAUUGAAGACUAACUACUGCGAAAGCAUUUGCCAAGGAUGUUUUCAUUAAUCAAGAACGAAGGUUAGGGGAUCGAAGACGAUCAGAUACCGUCGCAGUCUUAACCAUAAACUAUGCCGACUAGGGAUCG